This 292-nucleotide ribosomal RNA is filed under the name uncultured microorganism. Its description in RNAcentral is "partial 16S ribosomal RNA". It matches the Rfam family "Bacterial small subunit ribosomal RNA", at positions 505 to 796 of the family's 1533-position model. The record is from RNAcentral.
GUGCCAGCAGCCGCGGUAAUACGUAGGUGGCAAGCGUUGUCCGGAAUUAUUGGGCGUAAAGCGCGCGCAGGCGGUCUCUUAAGUCUGAUGUGAAAGCCCCCGGCUCAACCGGGGAGGGUCAUUGGAAACUGGGAGACUUGAGUGCAGAAGAGAAGAGCGGAAUUCCACGUGUAGCGGUGAAAUGCGUAGAGAUGUGGAGGAACACCAGUGGCGAAGGCGGCUCUUUGGUCUGUAACUGACGCUGAGGCGCGAAAGCGUGGGGAGCAAACAGGAUUAGAUACCCUGGUAGUCC